RNAcentral lists this ribosomal RNA (253 nucleotides) under uncultured bacterium. Its description in RNAcentral is "partial 16S ribosomal RNA". It matches the Rfam family "Bacterial small subunit ribosomal RNA", at positions 524 to 776 of the family's 1533-position model. The record is from RNAcentral.
UACAGAGGUCCCAAGCGUUGUUCGGAUUCACUGGGCGUAAAGGGUGCGUAGGUGGCGGGGUAAGUCGGAUGUGAAAGCUCGGAGCUCAACUCCGAAAUGGCAUUGGAAACUACCUUGCCCGAGGGUUGGAGGGGGGACUGGAAUGCUUGGUGUAGCAGUGAAAUGCGUAGAUAUCAAGCGGAACACCAGUGGCGAAGGCGAGUCCCUGGACAACUCCUGACACUGAGGCACGAAAGCUAGGGGAGCAAACGGG